GUUGUAUGGUCAAGUAAUGAAGUGCACAUGGUGGAUGCCUUGGCAGUCAGAGGCGAUGAAAGACGUGAUAGCCUGCGAUAAGCGUCGGUGAGGUGGCAAUAUCCUGUGACCCGGCGAUUUCUGAAUGGGGAAACCCAACCAACAUAAGUUGGUUAUUACACAGUUUACUGUGUAAGGCAAACCGGGAGAAGUGAAACAUCUCAGUACCCCGAGGAAAAGACAUCAAAUGAGAUUCCGUAAGUAGCGGCGAGCGAACACGGAGGAGCCGAUCAAUUUUACAGUAGCAAAAUGGCGUGGGAAAGCCAACCAUAGUAGGUGAUAGUCCUGUAUGCGAAACUGUUUAAGCGACAUAUUAAGUAGGGCGGAACACGAGAAAUUCUGUCUGAAGAUGGGGGGACCAUCCUCCAAGGCUAAAUACUCCUGACUGACCGAUAGUGAACCAGUACCGUGAGGGAAAGGCGAAAAGAACCCCUGUUAGGGGAGUGAAAUAGAACCUGAAACCGUGUGCAUACAAGCAGUCGGAGCGGACUUGUUCCGUGACGGCGUACCUUUUGUAUAAUGGGUCAGCGACUUAUAUUCUGUAGCAAGGUUAACCGAAUAGGGGAGCCGUAGGGAAACCGAGUCUUAAUAGGGCGAAUGAGUUGCAGGGUAUAGACCCGAAACCGAGUGAUCUAUCCAUGAGCAGGUUGAAAGUGCCGUAACAGGCACCGGAGGACCGAACCCACUGUCGUUGAAAAGCCAGGGGAUGACUUGUGGAUAGGGGUGAAAGGCUAAUCAAACUCGGUGAUAGCUGGUUCUCCCCGAAAGCUAUUUAGGUAGCGCCUCGGACGAACACCAUUGGGGGUAGAGCACUGUUUCGGCUAGGGGGUCACACCGACUUACCAAACCGAUGCAAACUCCGAAUACCGAUGAGUGAUAUCCGGGAGACAGACGGCGGGUGCUAACGUCCGUCGUCAAGAGGGAAACAACCCAGACCGCCAGCUAAGGCCCCAAAUUCCUAGUUAAGUGGGAAACGAUGUGGGAAGGCACAGACAGCUAGGAGGUUGGCUUAGAAGCAGCCACCCUUUAAAGAAAGCGUAAUAGCUCACUAGUCGAGUCGGCCUGCGCGGAAGAUGUAACGGGGCUCAAACUAGGAGCCGAAGCUGCGGAUUUAAUUGUUUCAAUUAAGUGGUAGGGGAGCGUUGUGUAAGCCUGUGAAGGUGCACUGUAAGGUGUGCUGGAGGUAUCACAAGAGCGAAUGCUGACGUGAGUAACGACAAAACGGGUGAAAAGCCCGUUCGCCGGAAGACCAAGGGUUCCAGUCCAACGUUAAUCGGGGCUGGGUGAGUCGACCCCUAAGGCGAGGCCGAAAGGCGUAGUCGAUGGGAAAUCGGUUAAUAUUCCGAUACUUGUUUAUGAUGCGAUGGAGGGACGGAGAAGGUUAUGCCAGCCUGGCGAUGGUUGUCCAGGUGGAAGGAUGUAGUUAGACUGAGUAGGCAAAUCCGCUCGGUUAUUAAUGAGAUCUGAUAGCAAGCCAGUUUACUGGCGAAGUGGCAAAUACCCUGCUUCCAGGAAAAGCUUCUAAGCGAUAGUCAUAAACGAAUCGUACCCGAAACCGACACAGGUGGUCAGGUAGAGAAUACCAAGGCGCUUGAGAGAACUCUGCUGAAGGAACUAGGCAAAAUGGUACCGUAACUUCGGGAGAAGGUACGCUGCCGAUGGUGAUGAAACUUGCUUUCUGAGCUGUUGGCAGUCGCAGAUACCAGGCUGCUGCAACUGUUUAUUAAAAACACAGCACUCUGCAAACACGAAAGUGGACGUAUAGGGUGUGAUGCCUGCCCGGUGCUGGAAGGUUAAUUGAUGGGGUUAGCGUAAGCGAAGCUCUUGAUCGAAGCCCCAGUAAACGGCGGCCGUAACUAUAACGGUCCUAAGGUAGCGAAAUUCCUUGUCGGGUAAGUUCCGACCUGCACGAAUGGCAUAAUGAUGGCAGCGCUGUCUCCAGCAGAGACUCAGUGAAAUCGAAAUCGCAGUGAAGAUGCUGUGUACCCGCGGCUAGACGGAAAGACCCCGUGAACCUUUACUACAGCUUUACAUUGAACUUUGACCUAACUUGUGUAGGAUAGGUGGGAGGCUUUGAAGCAGAUACGCCAGUAUUUGUGGAGCCAACCUUGAAAUACCACCCUGGUUAUGUUGGGGUUCUAACUUAGGAUUAACAAAUCCAAGGACAAUGUAUGGUGGGUAGUUUGACUGGGGCGGUCUCCUCCUAAAGAGUAACGGAGGAGUACGAAGGUGCGCUCAGAACGGUCGGAAAUCGUUCAAAGAGUAUAAAGGCAAAAGCGCGCUUAACUGCGAGACCCACAAGUCGAGCAGGUACGAAAGUAGGUCUUAGUGAUCCGGUGGUUCUGUAUGGAAGGGCCAUCGCUCAACGGAUAAAAGGUACUCUGGGGAUAACAGGCUGAUACCGCCCAAGAGUUCAUAUCGACGGCGGUGUUUGGCACCUCGAUGUCGGCUCAUCUCAUCCUGGGGCUGAAGCAGGUCCCAAGGGUAUGGCUGUUCGCCAUUUAAAGAGGUACGCGAGCUGGGUUUAGAACGUCGUGAGACAGUUCGGUCCCUAUCUACCGUGGGCGUUGGAAAUUUGAGAGGAUCUGCUCCUAGUACGAGAGGACCAGAGUGGACGAACCUCUGGUGUUUCGGUUGUCACGCCAGUGGCAUUGCCGAGUAGCUACGUUCGGAUGGGAUAACCGCUGAAAGCAUCUAAGCGGGAAGCCCACCUCAAGAUAAGAUUUCCCUAAAGAGCCGUUGUAGACUACGACGUUGAUAGGUUGGGUGUGGAAGUGUAGUGAUACAUGUAGCUAACCAAUACUAAUUGCUCGUUUGGCUUGACCAUACAACACCCAAG
RNAcentral lists this ribosomal RNA (2878 nucleotides) under Moraxella catarrhalis. RNAcentral describes it as "bacterial LSU rRNA". It matches the Rfam family "Bacterial large subunit ribosomal RNA". The record is from RNAcentral. Lineage: Bacteria; Pseudomonadati; Pseudomonadota; Gammaproteobacteria; Moraxellales; Moraxellaceae.